This 495-nucleotide ribosomal RNA is filed under the name uncultured bacterium. Its description in RNAcentral is "partial 16S ribosomal RNA". It matches the Rfam family "Bacterial small subunit ribosomal RNA", at positions 28 to 507 of the family's 1533-position model. The record is from RNAcentral.
GACGAACGCUGGCGGCGUGCCUAAUACAUGCAAGUAGAACGCUGAAGGAGGAGCUUGCUUCUCUGGAUGAGUUGCGAACGGGUGAGUAACGCGUAGGUAACCUGCCUGGUAGCGGGGGAUAACUAUUGGAAACGAUAGCUAAUACCGCAUAAUAGCAGUUGUUGCAUGACAACUGUUUGAAAGGUGCAAUUGCACCACUACCAGAUGGACCUGCGUUGUAUUAGCUAGUUGGUGGGGUAACGGCUCACCAAGGCGACGAUACAUAGCCGACCUGAGGGGGUGAUCGGCCACACUGGGACUGAGACACGGCCCAGACUCCUACGGGAGGCAGCAGUAGGGAAUCUUCGGCAAUGGACGGAAGUCUGACCGAGCAAAGCCGCGUGAGUGAAGAAGGUUUUCGGAUCGUAAAGCUCUGUUGUAAGAGAAGAACGAGUGUGAGAGUGGAAAGUUCACAGUGUGACGGUAUCUUACCAGAAAGGGACGGCUAACUACGUG